RNAcentral lists this ribosomal RNA (253 nucleotides) under uncultured bacterium. RNAcentral describes it as "partial 16S ribosomal RNA". It matches the Rfam family "Bacterial small subunit ribosomal RNA", at positions 524 to 776 of the family's 1533-position model. The record is from RNAcentral.
UACGUAGGGUGCAAGCGUUGUCCGGAUUUAUUGGGUUUAAAGGGGGCGUAGGCGGCCCGGUCAGUCCGUGGUGAAAGCCUCCAGCUCAACUGGAGAACUGCCAUUGAUACUGCCGGGCUUGAGUACAGACGAGGUUGGCGGAAUUGAUUGUGUAGCGGUGAAAUGCAUAGAUACAAUCAAGAACUCCGAUUGCGUAGGCAGCUAACUAGGCUGUAACUGACGCUGAGGCACGAAAGCGUGGGGAGCGAACAGG